AACGAACGCUGGCGGCAGGCUUAACACAUGCAAGUCGAACGCCCCGCAAGGGGAGUGGCAGACGGGUGAGUAACGCGUGGGAAUCUACCGUACCCUACGGAAUAACGCAUGGAAACGUGUGCUAAUACCGUAUACGCCCUACGGGGGAAAGAUUUAUCGGGGUAUGAUGAGCCCGCGUUGGAUUAGCUAGUUGGUGGGGUAAAGGCCUACCAAGGCGACGAUCCAUAGCUGGUCUGAGAGGAUGAUCAGCCACAUUGGGACUGAGACACGGCCCAAACUCCUACGGGAGGCAGCAGUGGGGAAUAUUGGUCAAUGGACGAGAGUCUGAACCAGCCAAGUCGCGUGAAGGAAGACGGUUCUAUGAAUUGUAAACUUCUUUUGUGCAGGAAUAAAGUGGGUUACGUGUAACCUUUUGUAUGUACUGUACGAAUAAGGAUCGGCUAACUCCGUGCCAGCAGCCGCGGUAAGCUAGUCUACG
RNAcentral lists this ribosomal RNA (478 nucleotides) under uncultured bacterium. RNAcentral's name for it is "bacterial SSU rRNA". It matches the Rfam family "Bacterial small subunit ribosomal RNA", at positions 29 to 536 of the family's 1533-position model. The record is from RNAcentral.